Long non-coding RNA from Daphnia magna, 680 nucleotides. RefSeq lists it as uncharacterized. Lineage: Eukaryota; Metazoa; Arthropoda; Branchiopoda; Diplostraca; Daphniidae. The record is from RefSeq and is a predicted model, not a curated record. The transcript has 2 exons.
UGCUGCAAUUCUCGAGAUAUUUGGCCUGUUUGGAAUCCCACCGCCCAGUCUGAGCAGCUUUGGAAGAGAGACAUCAUCAACAUGAGGCGCUGUCCCAAAAGAGUGUCUUCCAAAUUGUCGAACUCUGUUUUCUAAACGCGAGGAUUACUCGUAAAAAUACCAUUCUAUGUUGGGUUUCUUCAAGGAGCUCCAUAUGAUUUUCAACUGCUGGCAUAGUUUUCAAAUAAUUUGCCAAUUUGACUAAUCCGGAUUCAACUUUCUCAAAGAGACCGUUGAGGCACAAUAGAAGCAUUUGUCCUUGAGUUAAGCGGACUUCACCAUCAAUACCUUCUCCCAGCAAGUCUUGGAAGCGUAGUCUCGUCAUCUCCAUCUAAUUGUUCAACAACGGUCAAUAAAAUAGAACUAAACUCGUAAAAAAUAAUAGGAUCGGAUAUCGUACUUUUGUGAGAUUUAUGUCAAUGCAAAGAACUUCAAGUUCUUCGUGAAGUUGCAAAACACUCUUAUCGGAGCACUCAAAAAGUCGAAUCAAUUCCGGAAGAACUAUAGUCGUGCCGUUAAAGAUGAAUUCUUGCAUGUCUUGGUGUAAUUGGUCCAGUAGUUUUAAUGCUGUCACUUCAUCUGCGUGAUAGAAAUGAUGAUUAAACAGAUUUCACGCUAAAAUGCAGAGAAUUUUGCCCGUU